GAUCCUGGCUCAGAAUCAACGCUGGCGGCGUGCCUCAGACAUGCAAGUCGAACGAUUAAAGCUCCCUUCGGGGAGUGCAUAAAGUGGCGCACGGGUGAGUAACACGUAAGUAAUCUACCCUCGGGUGGGGAAUAACGUUCGGAAACGGACGCUAAUACCGCAUAAUGCAGCGGCACCGCAAGGUGACAGUUGUUAAAGAUUUAUUGCCUGGGGAGGAGCUUGCGGCAGAUUAGCUUGUUGGUAAGGUAACGGCUUACCAAGGCUACGAUCUGUAUCCGGUCUAAGAGGACGGUCGGACACACUGACACUGAAUAACGGGUCAGACUCCUACGGGAGGCAGCAGUCGGGAAUUUUGGGCAAUGGGGGAAACCCUGACCCAGCAACGCCGCGUGAAGGAUGAAGUAUUUCGGUAUGUAAACUUCGAAAGAAUAGGAAGAAUUAAUGACGGUACUAUUUAUAAGGUCCGGCUAACUACGUGCCAGCAGCCGCGGUAAUACGUAGGGACCAAGCGUUGUUCGGAUUUACUGGGCGUAAAGGGCGCGUAGGCGGCGUGGUAAGUCACUUGUGAAAUCUCUGAGCUUAACUCAGAAUGGCCAAGUGAUACUGCUGUGCUUGAGUGUGGAAGGGGCAAUCGGAAUUCUUGGUGUAGCGGUGAAAUGCGUAGAUAUCAAGAGGAACACCUGAGGUGAA
RNAcentral lists this ribosomal RNA (690 nucleotides) under uncultured Acidobacteriota bacterium. Its description in RNAcentral is "bacterial SSU rRNA". It matches the Rfam family "Bacterial small subunit ribosomal RNA", at positions 15 to 719 of the family's 1533-position model. The record is from RNAcentral. Lineage: Bacteria; Pseudomonadati; Acidobacteriota.